GACGAACGCUGGCGGCGUGCUUAACACAUGCGAGUCGAACGGAAAGGCCUGCUUUCCCUUGUGGAUUGCGGGUACUCGAGUGGCGAACGGGCGAGUAACACGUGAGUGAUCUGCCCCCAACUUGGGUAUAAGCCUGGGAAACUGGGUCUAAUUCCCGAUAGGACUGCAGGGUGGUGCCUGUGGUGGAAAACGUUCUUCUAGUGGUUGGGGAUGAGCCCGCGGCCUAUCAGCUUGUUGGUGGGGCAAUGGCCUACCAAGGCGGGGACAGGUAGCCGGCCAGGGAGGGUGGACGGCGACAUUGGGACUGGGUUACGGCCCAGACUGCAACGGGAAGCAGCAGUGGGGAAGAAUGCACAAUGGGCGGAAGCCUGAAGCAGCGACGCCGCGUGGGGGAUGACGGGCUUCGGGUUGUAAGCUCCUUGCGACCACGAGGAAGCCACCUGGUUGGAAGGGUGGUGACGGUAGUGGUAGAAGAAGCACCGGCUAACUACGUG
This 494-nucleotide ribosomal RNA is filed under the name uncultured bacterium. RNAcentral's name for it is "partial 16S ribosomal RNA". It matches the Rfam family "Bacterial small subunit ribosomal RNA", at positions 28 to 507 of the family's 1533-position model. The record is from RNAcentral.